GGAGGAUGCAAGCGUUAUCCGGAUUUAUUGGGUUUAAAGGGUACGUAGGCGGAAAUUAAGUCAGUAGUGAAAUCCUGCAGCUUAACUGUAGAACUGUUAUUGAUACUGGUUUUCUUGAAUAUAGUUGAGGUAGGCGGAAUGUGUAAUGUAGCGGUGAAAUGCUUAGAUAUUACACAGAACACCGAUUGCGAAGGCAGCUUACUAAGCUAUGAUUGACGCUGAGGUACGAAAGCGUGGGGGAGCGAACAGGAUUAGAUACCCUGGUAGUCCACGCCGUAAACGAUGAUCACUCGUUGUUGGCAAUACAUCGUCAGCGACUGAGCGAAAGCAUUAAGUGAUCCACCUGGGGAGUACGCUCGCAAGAGUG
This 367-nucleotide ribosomal RNA is filed under the name uncultured organism. Its description in RNAcentral is "partial 16S ribosomal RNA". It matches the Rfam family "Bacterial small subunit ribosomal RNA", at positions 527 to 896 of the family's 1533-position model. The record is from RNAcentral.